This 200-nucleotide unclassified non-coding RNA is filed under the name Helotiales sp. RNAcentral describes it as "partial internal transcribed spacer 2". The record is from RNAcentral. Lineage: Eukaryota; Fungi; Ascomycota; Leotiomycetes; Helotiales.
UUAAGUUCAGCGGGUAUCCCUACCUGAUCCGAGGUCAACCUUAAAAAAUUGGGGUUGUUGGCAAGCACAAUCAAGACCCUAUAGCGAGAAAAAUUACUACGCGUAGAGCUUAAGAGCACCGCCACUGGUUUUAAGAGAGGCCAGAAUUGGCCACCUCCAAGUCCACCACAGGGGUGAUUUGGUCAUUAUGACGCUCGAAC